AGAUGAUAGAUAGCAACUAAAAAGAAGCAAACACAAAAGAAAAGGUCAGAGUCUCUCUCUCUCUCUCUCUAUUUCUCUUUC
This 81-nucleotide non-coding RNA is filed under the name Aurantiochytrium limacinum. Lineage: Eukaryota; Bigyra; Thraustochytrida; Thraustochytriidae. The record is from RNAcentral.